This 356-nucleotide ribosomal RNA is filed under the name Ara macao (Scarlet macaw). RNAcentral's name for it is "partial 12S small subunit ribosomal RNA". It matches the Rfam family "Bacterial small subunit ribosomal RNA", at positions 797 to 1348 of the family's 1533-position model. The record is from RNAcentral. Lineage: Eukaryota; Metazoa; Chordata; Aves; Psittaciformes; Psittacidae.
UAGCCCUAAAUCUUGAUGACCCCAAACACAAACAUCCGCCUGAGAACUACGAGCACAAACGCUUAAAACUCUAAGGACUUGGCGGUGCUCUAAACCCACCUAGAGGAGCCUGUUCUAUAAUCGAUAACCCACGAUUCACCCGACCACCUCUUGCCAAAACAGCCUAUAUACCGCCGUCGCCAGCCCACCUCGUGAGAGCACAACAGUGAGCCCAACAGCCCACAGCCCACUAACAAGACAGGUCGAGGUAUAGCCUAUGAGAUGGAAGAAAUGGGCUACAUUUUCUAAAAUAGAAAACCCAACGAAAAGGGGCUUGAAACCUGCCCCCAGAAGGCGGAUUUAGCAGUAAAGUAGGA